RNAcentral lists this ribosomal RNA (528 nucleotides) under uncultured bacterium. Its description in RNAcentral is "bacterial SSU rRNA". It matches the Rfam family "Bacterial small subunit ribosomal RNA", at positions 777 to 1304 of the family's 1533-position model. The record is from RNAcentral.
AAUAGAUACCCAGGUAGUCCACGCCGUAAACGAUGAGUGCUAAGUGUUAGAGGGUUUCCGCCCUUUAGUGCUGCAGCUAACGCAUUAAGCACUCCGCCUGGGGAGUACGGUCGCAAGACUGAAACUCAAAGGAAUUGACGGGGGCCCGCACAAGCGGUGGAGCAUGUGGUUUAAUUCGAAGCAACGCGAAGAACCUUACCAGGUCUUGACAUCCCACUGACCGGUAUAGAGAUAUACCUUUCCCUUCGGGGACAGUGGUGACAGGUGGUGCAUGGUUGUCGUCAGCUCGUGUCGUGAGAUGUUGGGUUAAGUCCCGCAACGAGCGCAACCCUUAAUCUUAGUUGCCAGCAUUUAGUUGGGCACUCUAAGGUGACUGCCGGUGACAAACCGGAGGAAGGUGGGGAUGACGUCAAAUCAUCAUGCCCCUUAUGACCUGGGCUACACACGUGCUACAAUGGAUGGUACAAAGGGCUGCAAGACUGCGAAGUCAAGCCAAUCCCAUAAACCAUUCUCAGUUCGGAUUGCAGG